RNAcentral lists this long non-coding RNA (545 nucleotides) under Triticum aestivum (bread wheat). RNAcentral's name for it is "long non-coding RNA (TAES_LNC002383)". Lineage: Eukaryota; Viridiplantae; Streptophyta; Magnoliopsida; Poales; Poaceae. The record is from RNAcentral.
AGCACAGAAAAACAAACAAAUGGAUGGGAAAACUAUGAGUUGUUUUUUCAUUUUGUUUUUGUUUCUAGGAUAUUACACUCAAGCUGGUACACUCUUUCGCUCCCUCUCCUACUCUCAUCUCUCCUACAAUCGGUGCUUGAGAAAUCUAACAUCUUUCUACUGAUGCCUUCCUUUUUUGUGUAAAUACACAGAUGCUUACCUUUUCAUAGAGAACUGCCGAGGCCAUCUUAUUGGAGACUUGACAUGCACGAAGUGGUCAUGCUGGGGGGAUUGUAUAAAAUAUUAUUUUGGAAAGAAAAUUAAGGAAUCUUAUUGUAUCCGCAAGUCCACAUCUCGCUAUUGCGUAUGUGUCAUAUGUGACUAGAAAUACAAUAUGGUUAUCGAUGCAUAUACCAUCAAGUGUCUGAAUAAAUUUAUAUAAGUAAUAAACUUCAUAAUAUAUGUUCAUCAAAUGUCAUAUUAAUCCAUGGUGUUGUUUUAUAUCAUUUAUAUGCCUUGUGUAAUCUCAUACUAGUCGAAUCAUUAAAUAAAGUAGUGUUCGAAAU